This 91-nucleotide transfer RNA is filed under the name Corynebacterium gerontici. Its description in RNAcentral is "tRNA-Ser". It matches the Rfam family "tRNA". From Rfam's summary of the family: Transfer RNA (tRNA) molecules are approximately 80 nucleotides in length. Their secondary structure includes four short double-helical elements and three loops (D, anti-codon, and T loops). Further hydrogen bonds mediate the characteristic L-shaped molecular structure. tRNAs have two regions of fundamental functional importance: the anti-codon, which is responsible for specific mRNA codon recognition, and the 3' end, to which the tRNAs corresponding amino acid is attached (by aminoacyl-tRNA synthetases). tRNAs cope with the degeneracy of the genetic code in two manners: having more than one tRNA (with a specific anti-codon) for a particular amino acid; and 'wobble' base-pairing, i.e. permitting non-standard base-pairing at the 3rd anti-codon position. The record is from RNAcentral. Lineage: Bacteria; Bacillati; Actinomycetota; Actinomycetes; Mycobacteriales; Corynebacteriaceae.
GGUAGCGUGUCCGAGCGGCCGAAGGUGCUCGCCUCGAAAGCGAGUGUUGGGUAACUCCCAACCGCGGGUUCAAAUCCCGCCGCUACCGCCA